This 372-nucleotide unclassified non-coding RNA is filed under the name uncultured bacterium. RNAcentral describes it as "contains 16S-23S intergenic spacer region". The record is from RNAcentral.
UCCGAUUUGAAUAUCGGCAGUUCAUUCCGAGUCCCCGGCAUUAUCCGCUGGUAACAGAACGUGAGGGUUGCGCUCGUUGCGGGACUUAACCCAACAUUUCACAACACGAGCUGACGACAGCCAUGCACCACCUGUGCUUCACCCUCGAAGGCGACUCCGUUUCGGGAGCUUGCAGAAGCAUGUCAAGCCUGGGUAAGGUUCUUCGCGUUGCAUCGAAUUAAGCCACAUGCUCCACCGCUUGUGCGGGCCCCCGCCAAUUCCUUUGAGUUUCAACCUUGCGGCCGUAGUCCCCAGGUGGAUCACUUAAUGCGUUAGCUGCGGCACCGAGGAAGACCCCGACACCUAGUGAUCAUCGUUUAUGGCCAAGACUAC